UACGAGGGGGGCGAGCGUUGUUCGGAAUUAUUGGGCGUAAAGGGUGCGUAGGCGGUUUGGUAAGUCUUAUGUGAAAUCUAUGGGCUCAACUCAUAGUCUGCAUGAGAAACUGCCGGGCUUGAGUAUGGGAGAGGUGAGUGGAAUUCCUGGUGUAGCGGUGAAAUGCGUAGAUAUCAGGAGGAACACCUGUGGCGAAAGCGGCUCACUGGACCAUAACUGACGCUGAUGCACGAAAGCGUGGGGAUCAAACAGG
RNAcentral lists this ribosomal RNA (253 nucleotides) under uncultured bacterium. RNAcentral describes it as "partial 16S ribosomal RNA". It matches the Rfam family "Bacterial small subunit ribosomal RNA", at positions 524 to 776 of the family's 1533-position model. The record is from RNAcentral.